UGUAAGCGUAUACCAAAGUUGUUGCAGUUAAAACGCUCGUAGUCGGAAUUUGGCAGUUCCGGAUGUGUGCACGUCGUGUGCGCACUUCGCGGGGAUUGCUUUUGUGGUCUUGCGUAGGAUGAGGCACUUUUAUUAGUGAACGUCCUCACGCAACCACUUUUUACUGUGAGAAAAUCAGAGUGCUCAAAGCAGGCAUUUGCCGUGAAUGUAUUAGCAUGGAAUAAUAGAAUAGGACUUGGUUCUAUUUUGUUGGUUUGUUGGGACUGAGUAAUGAUUAAGAGGGACAGUUGGGGGCAUUUGUAUUUCGGUGCUAGAGGUGAAAUUCUUAGAUUACCGAAAGACAAACUGCUGCGAAAGCGUCUGCCAAGGAUGUUUUCAUUUA
This 382-nucleotide ribosomal RNA is filed under the name uncultured eukaryote. Its description in RNAcentral is "partial 18S ribosomal RNA". It matches the Rfam family "Eukaryotic small subunit ribosomal RNA", at positions 592 to 976 of the family's 1831-position model. The record is from RNAcentral.